RNAcentral lists this ribosomal RNA (433 nucleotides) under uncultured bacterium. Its description in RNAcentral is "partial 16S ribosomal RNA". It matches the Rfam family "Bacterial small subunit ribosomal RNA", at positions 29 to 507 of the family's 1533-position model. The record is from RNAcentral.
AACGAACGCUGGCGGCAUGCCUAACACAUGCAAGUCGAACGAGACCUUCGGGUCUAGUGGCGCACGGGUGCGUAACGCGUGGGAACCUGCCCUUAGGUUCGGAAUAACUCCCCGAAGGGGGUGCUAAUACCGGAUAAUGUCUUCGGGCCAAAGAUUUAUCGCCUUUGGAUGGGCCCGCGUUGGAUUAGCUAGUUGGUAGGGUAAAAGCCUACCAAGGCGACGAUCCAUAGCUGGUCUGAGAGGAUGAUCAGCCACACUGGGACUGAGACACGGCCCAGACUCCUACGGGAGGCAGCAGUGGGGAAUAUUGGACAAUGGGCGAAAGCCUGAUCCAGCAAUGCCGCGUGAGUGAUGAAGGCCUUAGGGUUGUAAAGCUCUUUUACCCGGGAUGAUAAUGACAGUACCGGGAGAAUAAGCUCCGGCUAACUCCGUG